GGGCUCGUGGUCUAGGGGUUAUGAUGUCGCCUUCACACGGCGAAGAUCGCAGGUUCAAAUCCUGCCGAGCCCACCA
This 76-nucleotide transfer RNA is filed under the name Methanobacteriota archaeon. Its description in RNAcentral is "Euryarchaeota archaeon tRNA-Val". It matches the Rfam family "tRNA". Rfam says of the family: Transfer RNA (tRNA) molecules are approximately 80 nucleotides in length. Their secondary structure includes four short double-helical elements and three loops (D, anti-codon, and T loops). Further hydrogen bonds mediate the characteristic L-shaped molecular structure. tRNAs have two regions of fundamental functional importance: the anti-codon, which is responsible for specific mRNA codon recognition, and the 3' end, to which the tRNAs corresponding amino acid is attached (by aminoacyl-tRNA synthetases). tRNAs cope with the degeneracy of the genetic code in two manners: having more than one tRNA (with a specific anti-codon) for a particular amino acid; and 'wobble' base-pairing, i.e. permitting non-standard base-pairing at the 3rd anti-codon position. The record is from RNAcentral. Lineage: Archaea; Methanobacteriati; Methanobacteriota. RNAcentral also lists the same sequence under 3 other names.